This 253-nucleotide ribosomal RNA is filed under the name uncultured bacterium. RNAcentral's name for it is "partial 16S ribosomal RNA". It matches the Rfam family "Bacterial small subunit ribosomal RNA", at positions 80 to 334 of the family's 1533-position model. The record is from RNAcentral.
UACCUUUGCCGGCGACCGGCGCACGGGUGAGUAACACGUAUCCAACCUGCCGAUAACUCGGGGAUAGCCUUUCGAAAGAAAGAUUAAUACCCGAUGGUAUAAUCAGACCGCAUGGUUUGAUUAUUAAAGAAUUUCGGUUAUCGAUGGGGAUGCGUUCCAUUAGGCAGUUGGUGAGGUAACGGCUCACCAAACCUUCGAUGGAUAGGGGUUCUGAGAGGAAGGUCCCCCACAUUGGAACUGAGACACGGUCCAA